RNAcentral lists this ribosomal RNA (430 nucleotides) under uncultured bacterium. RNAcentral describes it as "partial 16S ribosomal RNA". It matches the Rfam family "Bacterial small subunit ribosomal RNA", at positions 29 to 507 of the family's 1533-position model. The record is from RNAcentral.
ACGAACGCUGGCGGCAGGCUUAACACAUGCAAGUCGAACGCCCCGCAAGGGGAGUGGCAGACGGGUGAGUAACGCGUGGGAACAUACCCUUUUCUACGGAAUAGCUCUGGGAAACUGGAAUUAAUACCGUACACGCCCUACGGGGGAAAGAUUUAUCGGGGAAGGAUUGGCCCGCGUUGGAUUAGCUAGUUGGUGGGGUAAAGGCCUACCAAGGCGACGAUCCAUAGCUGGUCUGAGAGGAUGAUCAGCCACAUUGGGACUGAGACACGGCCCAAACUCCUACGGGAGGCAGCAGUGGGGAAUAUUGGACAAUGGGCGCAAGCCUGAUCCAGCCAUGCCGCGUGAGCGAUGAAGGCCUUAGGGUUGUAAAGCUCUUUCACCGAUGAAGAUAAUGACGGUAGUCGGAGAAGAAGCCCCGGCUAACUUCGUG